GGCCCUUUAGCUCAGUGGUACAGAGCGUCGCGGCGAUCUUGGUCCGGAUACGGGAGGAAAUUCAAUCCCACCUUUAUCUGGACUGCUCGCGCGAAGAGCUGGGUUCGAUUCCCGGAAAGACCG
This is a non-coding RNA of Athelia sp. TMB, 123 nucleotides long. The record is from the annotation of a GenBank genome assembly. NCBI's taxonomy places the organism in Eukaryota, Fungi, Basidiomycota, Agaricomycetes, Atheliales, Atheliaceae.